This 325-nucleotide ribosomal RNA is filed under the name uncultured eukaryote. Its description in RNAcentral is "partial 18S ribosomal RNA". It matches the Rfam family "Eukaryotic small subunit ribosomal RNA", at positions 1470 to 1796 of the family's 1831-position model. The record is from RNAcentral.
CCCUUAGAUGUUCUGGGCCGCACGCGCGCUACACUGAUGCAUUCAACGAGCCUAUCCUUGACCGACAGGUCCGGGUAAUCUUUGAAUCUGCAUCGUGACGGGGAUAGAUUAUUGCAAUUAUUAAUCUUCAACGAGGAAUGCCUAGUAGGCGCAAGUCAUCAGCUUGCGUCGAUUACGUCCCUGCCCUUUGUACACACCGCCCGUCGCUCCUACUGAUUGGGUGUGCUGGUGAAAUGUUCGGAUCGGCCGUUUGUCGCGGUUUCCGCGGCUCGUGGCUGAGAAGUUCAUUAAACCCUCCCACCUAGAGGAAGGAGAAGUCGUAACA